RNAcentral lists this ribosomal RNA (1389 nucleotides) under Lacticaseibacillus rhamnosus. RNAcentral's name for it is "Lactobacillus rhamnosus 16S ribosomal RNA". It matches the Rfam family "Bacterial small subunit ribosomal RNA", at positions 91 to 1464 of the family's 1533-position model. The record is from RNAcentral. Lineage: Bacteria; Bacillati; Bacillota; Bacilli; Lactobacillales; Lactobacillaceae.
ACGAGUGGCGGACGGGUGAGUAACACGUGGGUAACCUGCCCUUAAGUGGGGGAUAACAUUUGGAAACAGAUGCUAAUACCGCAUAAAUCCAAGAACCGCAUGGUUCUUGGCUGAAAGAUGGCGUAAGCUAUCGCUUUUGGAUGGACCCGCGGCGUAUUAGCUAGUUGGUGAGGUAACGGCUCACCAAGGCAAUGAUACGUAGCCGAACUGAGAGGUUGAUCGGCCACAUUGGGACUGAGACACGGCCCAAACUCCUACGGGAGGCAGCAGUAGGGAAUCUUCCACAAUGGACGCAAGUCUGAUGGAGCAACGCCGCGUGAGUGAAGAAGGCUUUCGGGUCGUAAAACUCUGUUGUUGGAGAAGAAUGGUCGGCAGAGUAACUGUUGUCGGCGUGACGGUAUCCAACCAGAAAGCCACGGCUAACUACGUGCCAGCAGCCGCGGUAAUACGUAGGUGGCAAGCGUUAUCCGGAUUUAUUGGGCGUAAAGCGAGCGCAGGCGGUUUUUUAAGUCUGAUGUGAAAGCCCUCGGCUUAACCGAGGAAGUGCAUCGGAAACUGGGAAACUUGAGUGCAGAAGAGGACAGUGGAACUCCAUGUGUAGCGGUGAAAUGCGUAGAUAUAUGGAAGAACACCAGUGGCGAAGGCGGCUGUCUGGUCUGUAACUGACGCUGAGGCUCGAAAGCAUGGGUAGCGAACAGGAUUAGAUACCCUGGUAGUCCAUGCCGUAAACGAUGAAUGCUAGGUGUUGGAGGGUUUCCGCCCUUCAGUGCCGCAGCUAACGCAUUAAGCAUUCCGCCUGGGGAGUACGACCGCAAGGUUGAAACUCAAAGGAAUUGACGGGGGCCCGCACAAGCGGUGGAGCAUGUGGUUUAAUUCGAAGCAACGCGAAGAACCUUACCAGGUCUUGACAUCUUUUGAUCACCUGAGAGAUCAGGUUUCCCCUUCGGGGGCAAAAUGACAGGUGGUGCAUGGUUGUCGUCAGCUCGUGUCGUGAGAUGUUGGGUUAAGUCCCGCAACGAGCGCAACCCUUAUGACUAGUUGCCAGCAUUUAGUUGGGCACUCUAGUAAGACUGCCGGUGACAAACCGGAGGAAGGUGGGGAUGACGUCAAAUCAUCAUGCCCCUUAUGACCUGGGCUACACACGUGCUACAAUGGAUGGUACAACGAGUUGCGAGACCGCGAGGUCAAGCUAAUCUCUUAAAGCCAUUCUCAGUUCGGACUGUAGGCUGCAACUCGCCUACACGAAGUCGGAAUCGCUAGUAAUCGCGGAUCAGCACGCCGCGGUGAAUACGUUCCCGGGCCUUGUACACACCGCCCGUCACACCAUGAGAGUUUGUAACACCCGAAGCCGGUGGCGUAACCCUUUUAGGGAGCGAGCCGUCUAAGGUG